This 26-nucleotide non-coding RNA is filed under the name Homo sapiens (human). Lineage: Eukaryota; Metazoa; Chordata; Mammalia; Primates; Hominidae. The record is from RNAcentral.
UGCGUGUACAGGUUUCUAGGCUGUAA